GUCUUAUUGAAAAUAAUUUUAAGUCGAUCUGCCCAAUGAUUUAAAUUAAUUAAAUGGCUGCAGUAUAAUUAACUGUACAAAGGUAGCAUAAUCAAUUGUUUUUUAAUUAAAAACUAGAAUGAAAGAAUUAAUGAGAUAUAUACUGUCUCAUAUAUAUAAAAUAAAUUUAAAUUUUUAGUAAAAAUGCUAAAAUUUUUUUAUGGGACGAUAAGACCCUAUAGAAUUUUAUAUUAAUAUUUAAUUAAUUAUUUAAUUAUAAUAUUAAUAUUUAAUUGGGAGGAUUAGUAAAUUUAAUAAACUUUAUUUUUAAAAUAAACUUUAAUUUUAGAAUAUAUUUUGAUCUUUUAUUAAAAAUUAAAAAAAUAAAUUACCUUAGGGAUAACAGCGUAAUAUCUUUUUAAAGAUCAUAUUAAUAAAGAUGUUUGCGACCUCGAUGUUGAAUUAAGAUAAAUUUUAGAUGUAGAAAUCUAAAUAUUAAGUCUGUUCGACUUUUAAAAUCUUACAUGAUUUGAGUUCAAAUCGACGUAAGU
RNAcentral lists this ribosomal RNA (530 nucleotides) under Bombus sylvarum. RNAcentral describes it as "partial 16S ribosomal RNA". The stretch from base 378 to 530 matches the Rfam family "Bacterial large subunit ribosomal RNA", at positions 2473 to 2626 of the family's 2925-position model. The record is from RNAcentral. Lineage: Eukaryota; Metazoa; Arthropoda; Insecta; Hymenoptera; Apidae.